CUUUCUCGUAAGUUCCUCCGCAAGGCUGUUGAGUCGCUUUAAAUGGCCACUUGACUUGCGCACUGCUUCAAUGCCUUUUUCAUUUCUGCAGAUCAUCUUCAGAACUUCAGAGGCGAUAAAGAAGCCAUCCUCCUUAUUCCUGAAUACAAGAGCUCCCAGAGAAGAAUUUCUACGGAUCCAUGGGUAUCAAUUAGCACUUCAAUAAGAUGGGGAUAACGUGAUAAAUUUCUUAAAGUAGAGAGCGCGUGCUUCAGGACUUCCUGAUCAGGUAUGCUUCGGCUGACUGACCGAAUGAGCUUCAGCAAAGUGCUAAUAGCUCCAGCACCAACAAGGGUUUCGCAGCAUUUUUGAGAAUGUCCUGUCGCCAUAUCUACAAAAGCAGAUUUGUACACCAAAUAUUUAUUUUCAGUCAAAUGAUAAAUGAUAAGGCAUAUUCAGGAAAAAGUAAGUGAAAAUUGCUAGGA
This is a long non-coding RNA of Cucumis melo (muskmelon), 464 nucleotides long. RefSeq lists it as uncharacterized. The transcript has 2 exons. The record is from RefSeq and is a predicted model, not a curated record. NCBI's taxonomy places the organism in Eukaryota, Viridiplantae, Streptophyta, Magnoliopsida, Cucurbitales, Cucurbitaceae.